AGAGUUUGAUCAUGGCUCAGAACGAACGCUGGCGGCGUGCCUAACACAUGCAAGUCGAGCGAGAAAAGGACCUUCGGGUCCCUAUUAAAGCGGCGGACGGGUGAGUAACACGUGAGUAACGUACCUCGGAGUGGGGGAUAACUACCCGAAAGGGUAGCUAAUACCGCAUGAGACCACAGACUCUUCGGAGAUAGGGGUCAAAGCAUUCGGGCGCUCUGAGAUCGGCUCGCGGACCAUUAGGUAGUAGGUGAGGUAAUGGCUCACCUAGCCUGUGAUGGUUAGCUGGUCUGAGAGGAUGAUCAGCCACACUGGGACUGAGACACGGCCCAGACUCCUACGGGAGGAAGCAGUGGGGAAUCUUGCGCAAUGGGCGAAAGCCUGACGCAGCAACGCCGCGUGUGUGAUGAAGGCCCUCGGGUCGUAAAGCACUGUCAGGAGGGAAGAAGAUCUGACGGUACCUCCAAAGGAAGCACCGGCUAACUCCGUGCCAGCAGCCGCGGUAAUACGGAGGGUGCAAGCGUUGUUCGGAAUUAUUGGGCGUAAAGCGCGCGCAGGUGGCUAACCAAGUCUGGUGUGAAAGCCCGGGGCUCAACCUCGGAACUGCAUUGGAAACUAGUUGGCUUGAGUCCGAGAGGGGUUAGUGGAAUUCCUGGUGUAGGGGUGAAAUCCCUAGAGAUCAGGAGGAACACCGGUGGC
Molecule: ribosomal RNA, 696 nt
Filed under: uncultured deep-sea bacterium
Lineage: Bacteria
Description: bacterial SSU rRNA
Rfam family: Bacterial small subunit ribosomal RNA
Source: RNAcentral